Molecule: ribosomal RNA, 455 nt
Filed under: uncultured organism
Description: bacterial SSU rRNA
Rfam family: Bacterial small subunit ribosomal RNA
Source: RNAcentral
GUGCAGCAGGCGAGAAUUUUUCUCAAUGGGGGAAACCCUGAAGGAGCGACGCCGCGUGGAGGAUGAAGGUCUUCGGGUUGUAAACUCCUGUCAUUUGGGAACAAGGUGUGCGCGUUAACUGCGCGCGCAUUGAUAGUACCAGAAGAGGAAGAGACGGCUAACUCUGUGCCAGCAGCCGCGGUAAUACAGAGGUCUCAAGCGUUGUUCGGAUUCAUUGGGCGUAAAGGGUGCGUAGGCGGCGCGGUAAGUCGGGUGUGAAAUUUCGAGGCUUAACUUCGAAACUGCAUUCGAUACUGCCGUGCUUGAGGACUGGAGAGGAGACUGGAAUUUACGGUGUAGCGGUGAAAUGCGUAGAUAUCGUAAGGAAGACCAGUGGCGAAGGCGGGUCUCUGGACAGUUCCUGACGCUGAGGCACGAAGGCCAGGGGAGCAAACGGGAUUAGAUACCCCUGUAGU